This is a long non-coding RNA of Dermacentor silvarum, 3038 nucleotides long. RefSeq lists it as uncharacterized. NCBI's taxonomy places the organism in Eukaryota, Metazoa, Arthropoda, Arachnida, Ixodida, Ixodidae. The transcript is spliced from 3 exons. The record is from RefSeq and is a predicted model, not a curated record.
CUACGCAGCGGCAUGUAUGCGGGGAGUAACAUCGUCGACGCAGCACCGGAAACUUGGAGAGCGCUUCGCGACCGCGUCGUACCAUUCAAAAGUGGCGAGGCUGUGACCCAUAACAGUGCCCACAUAACGGAGGAGCCACCAGACCCCUUGGCUAUGCCUGCCGUAGUGCAACGUGUAAUCUGGAUGGUCGGGUCAGGUACACCUAGGAAAUGUUGUAUACAUUGGCAACGAUAACUGGGGCCUGCUCCAGUGCCAUCGCCGGGAUUCCCUGUUCUGCAAAGAACUGGCAUAACUGAUGUGGGGAGCCCUGGCGCUCGGCGUAGGAGCGUCACAGGGGCUCCUUGUCGGUGCUUGAAGGACGGCAAUGCUGUUGAGAAGCCGACAUUGAGCCCCGAUAAAUUGGAAGCUGUGGGUAGUAAGUAUCAUUCACAUUUUUUCAAGUUUUUGUAAUGUUUGUAACAAUGCAUGUAUUGCACCGAAAUGAUUAACUUUUCAGAUGCAUUUGAUGCAUAUCUUUCGAAAUGUGGUGCCCCUGAGGAGAAAAAAUCAUCUUCUCAUGCUUGGUUUUGGCCGAGCGGUUGAAUCGAGUGACAAAGUUUUUCGCGUUUAGGUAGCCCAAGAAGAAACAAAAGCAGAAUUAACAAACCAGCUUAUUUGUGGCUACUCAUGAGUUGCAUUUCUUUGUUUAAAAGUGCCUGCGAAGUGGCGCUAACCUACUUAUCAGGUCCAGAAUUUUCGAUUAACACCGCUUCCAAAAGCUCGCGUUCUAAUUUGGUUUUUCCACGGCCAGAACUUCCGUAUUCGUCAUCCGCGGAUAGCAACGACAACUUUUGCAGUGUAGAGCAAUAUUCAACCCUUCUCCCGAUAUGCAACACCUGUAGCGUAGUUGUAGCCGGUCGUUCAGGCACUGAAUUGCAGUGCAGAUGUAGGCAACAACAGAAGAGUCAAGACGAGAGACAUGCGGCAACUCUUUAACAAAAAGCUUUAUUUUUGCUGGCCCAUGUUUAUAGCCGUCAGUCACUGCAUUGCACAUGCGCAAUUCGCACCCUUAGGAAGAAAGUAAACUCUGUCUGACAAGUGUACAGAAGGUGUGCUGAUACACACAGAGCCAAGUCGCGAAAUCUUUUCAGCCUCAAUUAUUUUACGUGUUAGUUGAUCACCGCUUCUGCUGGAAACAGUACACUGAGCAAAUGACGGUUCACAGUCACACGAACUGCAAUGACAUUCAAGCCUACUGUCACGCACAUUUUUCUUGACAUUGUAUGAGUGUUCUCUCAGCCGGUGAUUGAUACAGUGUCCCAUUUGACCUAUAUACUGUUUACCACAAGGGGGAUACAAUAAACCACGUUGCUAACACAGGUGACAAACGGAAUUUGGUGUUUUGUUGCAUAUGUGUGGCGUGCUGUGACAUUGCCUUUGAUUACACAACUUUAGAAUGAUAUGCAAUUUUCUUGAUAUUGUGAGAGCUUAUGAAUGUAGGGUAUGACGGCCAGUUUUAUGUCUGUCAGAUGCAGUGACCACAUGACCUCUACUCUGAAAAGCGCAUGCACCGAGUGGUUGCCAUGUGAUCACUCCAUCUGACAGACUUAAAGUGGCUGUCAUACCAUACAUUCAUAAGCUGUCUCACAAUAUCGUGAAAACUGCAGAUCGUUCCAAAGUUAAAGUUGUCUUCUUUGCACCUCAGAAGCUUAUAAAGUUGUGUAAUCAAAGGAAAUGUUUCAGCGCAGCACACAAGUGUAACAAAAAGCACAAAAAUCUGUUCGUCACCUAUGUUAGCAACAUGAAUUACUGUACCCCUCUUUCUUGUGGUAAACAGUACAUAGGCCAAACAGGACGCUGUAUCAAUGACCAGCUGAGAGAACACUCUACAAUGUCAAGAAAAACGUGCAUGACAGUUGGCUUGCAUGUUGUUGCAGUUCAUGUGCCUGUGAACCAUUGUUUGCUCGGUGUACUGUUGUCAGCAGUAGCGGUGAUCAACUAACACGUGAAAUUAUUGAAGCUGAAAAGAUUGCGCGACUUGGCUCUGUGUGUGUCAGCAUCUGUACACUUAUCAGACAGAGUUGACCUUCCUAAGGGUGUGAAUUGCGCGUGUGCAAUGUGAUGAGUGACGGCUAUAAACAUGGGUCGCUGAAAAUAAAGCUUUUUGUUGGAAGUCAGCACACGUCUAUUGUCUCGUCUUUUCUGUCGUCAAUAUCUGUGCUGCAAUUGACCAAUAUGUUGUACCAACAAGUCAAAUUUAUCACUCACUCAUUGGAACUUCUUUCAUCACGAAUGAAAUGUGGUUUUGGUACCGUGGUAGAGCAUUCACAUCAUUUGUUAAUUUUUGUUUUCUUCAAAGACUGAACUGGAUGUAACAAGCAGCCGUGGCAUUGCAAGGAAGCUUUAUGUUAAAGGAAUAUAUUGAUACUAACGUCUUAACUGCUUAGCGCAAUAAAGGAAGUUGUGGGUAUUGUUUAUUGUGCUUUCCUUGCUCUUGUGUCCAAACUUAUAGCUAUAAUGGUUAGGUUUUACUGAAAUUUGCUUUUUGAUGUUUUGCAUUAUUCUCCUGUGUAAAGUCACUAUUGUUUGUUUCACAGUUAUGCGAAGCUUAAGUUGUUUGUAAGCAUUUUUAUAGCCUGUUUUCACAGUAAACAUGGCUUACUUCAGUGUUUCAGAUGGCACUUUAUAGUUUGAUGUAAUUGAUGUCUCUGCAGGUUACCGCAUUAUUGACUUGGAAACCAGUGAGGUCUGGAUGCAAGUGAAGCUACCGAGGGAGGCAUGUGUGCAUCACUUGUGCUGCUGGCCAUCCUCUGCAAAAGUGAUGGCUGGCUGUCAGUGCUUGGAUGACUUUCUGUUACUCUACGCCUUGGGCUGUGUUGACUACUUCAUACUUGCUGCCAUGUCUGCAAGCUUAGGCAAAAAGACCGGCUGGAUGCUUGGCAGGAGAUAGUAUCCAACCGCAGUGUUACUGUGUUGUGUUGUACAUUACAAAGUGAAGGAGAACAGUAUUUGUGCUGUUAUUAAGAAGUAUAAAUUGUGUUCUGCCAUUGAAAUAAGGG